GUGAUGCUUACCUUGUCUGAAAUCUGAUUCAGAAGAAAUAAUAGACGGACUUUCACUGGAGGUACUAAAAAUAUCACUGUGUUGCAGGUGACAGUCAGAAAAACUGAUAGAAAAUGUGCUGAAUGAAACGGGAGAUGGAAAACACAAGGGGAGCUUCAGAAAGAGGAGGAACGGCCGGCCAGGAAAAAGGAAAAAGGGAACAAAUAAAGAGGUUUGAAAUCUCAAGAUACCAACGUCAGAAGGUCACUUGGUAAUAAAGAGUGAGUCAUGUGCUGGGAGCAUCAUGGCUAGAAUCCUGAUACCAGGAGAGACAUCAUCCUGUGAGACUGUGACGAGGGUCAGUGAAACCCACAGAAAAUUCUUCAUGUGGCCCUAGGGCCAAGGAUGCAUGAAUUUCAGUGAAACUUAUCCGAAUUGUUGUGUGGAUUUUGUUGAUUUUAGAGAGAGCAGCCCAUGGGAAAUACCCUGAAAUGAAGAGAGAUGGAGAUGCCUGACUGCACGUCACCAAAAGAAGUGAAGAAUAUAUUUUUUCCCCCAAGCAGUCUGCAGAUUUUAGCUUAGGAACAUCAGAGAAUGAAUUGUUUGUGCUAGGUGUUCAACAGAGAUUUUAAAAGAAACUGAAGUUAACGAACUAUGAAGUGAUUAAAUGGCAGUACAAGAGCCAGGUUUGUGGAACCAGGACCAGUGUGCUGGGAGAACCCAGGCAGAGCGGGAGUCUACUGAGAAAGAAACUUUAAAUACAUGAGAGAAAAGCCGAUGCCUGGCCAUGAACUCAUGGAAAAGAAGUUUCUAGGAUGAUGUUUAUCUGAAGAACAAGGCAUACUAUAGCCCAGCUUUGUGUAUAGUCAACACAAGUAUUAAGUAAUACUCUGAUUAAUGGAAAAGGUUUCAGAAUUGAGAAGUAUUUCCUAGUCCUCUGUGAACGACUGUAUUCUACUAUAGAGAAAUCGCAUGGUAAAAUAAGGCUUAAAAUCCACUGGGUGAAUAUGAAUGUGAUUUGAAGGGGCCAUGGGGGGGGGAACCAGUAAUUUCAUUGAAAACAAUAGUGCUACCUAAUACCACUUUAUAUUUUCUAUAAUAAAUUAUGCACACAUUAAACAGUUAUGUAGGAAGAACUGUUUCAUUUGAAGGCACCGAAGUACUUCUGUGUUAUUGUUACCAACUUCUCUCAAUAAUACCAUGUGGAAUUUUCCAGGGAACUGGUACCAAAUCACAAAUUCAGAUCUGCAAGUUUCAGGACAGCCAAACUAGCAAGGUCUGGGGAGGACCGUGAUUUACAGACGGCAUGGUUCUGCUGUUCUACAAAGUGAAGCAGGAAGGAGCAGUGGACCUGUUCAAUAAACUGACUAGAGAGGUUUCCUGCGCUCAGAUGCUGUGCCUUGGAACUCCAGCUUCCCAUGCCAUAUAAAGCACUACAUGGAUUUACUGUUUCUGAACUAUUUCUGCAACUGAAUCCCAUUUGCCAGGU
Peromyscus eremicus (cactus mouse) is the source of this 1468-nucleotide long non-coding RNA. RefSeq lists it as uncharacterized. The transcript has 2 exons. The record is from RefSeq and is a predicted model, not a curated record. Lineage: Eukaryota; Metazoa; Chordata; Mammalia; Rodentia; Cricetidae.